Molecule: long non-coding RNA, 1390 nt
Organism: Monopterus albus (swamp eel)
Lineage: Eukaryota; Metazoa; Chordata; Actinopteri; Synbranchiformes; Synbranchidae
Exons: 3
Source: RefSeq, a predicted model, not a curated record
UGUUUUAUUUUCAGGCAUUGACCUGUGGAAGCUUCUUGACAAAGAUGCAGAAGAAGACAGAAAAUCUCAGAACGCUACUGCAGAUUUCAUUGUGGAGGUUCAGCGAUAUCUGUCUGCUCCUCCUCUGGACAGAUCAAAGGACCCCUUAGGUUACUGUUCGAGGCACAAAUCCCUGUACCCACACCUGUUCAACCUGGCCAAACAGUUCCUGGUGACACCAGCAUCUUCUGUGCCAUGUGAAAAGGUCUUCUCCAAAUCUGGGGAAGUUGUCUCAAAAAAGCAAAAUCGCCUAAAACCAUCCACUGUGGAGACUCUAUUUUUUUUUUAUAAAAAUGCCUGAGUCAAACAAACACACCCAGUGUACACCAAGCACAAUCAGAACACAUAAUGUAUUGUAUUAAAUUGUCAGAACAUUAAUUACAUCCACAGCAUCAUUGAACCCUGUACAUAUUUACUCUGUCCAGUGUGUAAUUUGGGAUGAAUAAUUAUAAAUCCAUUUCAUAUUCUUAAGAGUUCUUGGGGAAGGAGGAUUACUUAGGUAUUCAACAUUUCACUUCAGAUACCUUAUAAGGCAAGGAAGAAAAACAGACACGUAAAAUGAAGUUAGAUUUCAGCUUUAUUUAGGUAAUUUCCACAUUACAAAAAAACUCAUCAUUAAAACAAAACUCAUGCACACGCAAGGUGCAUCAGUGUCACCUUUGCAAGGCUGCACAACAACGACUGCACCAGCAGAUGUCACCCACGUGCUCAAUGAAUGAAGCUUCGAGUAGUGAACCAAUUUUCAAUACAAUGGUCCAAAAGGGUUCAAAGCUUCAUGGGGCCUCGUAUGGCAUCACUAAAUACAGAUGUACAGGUUGUCAGGUUUGCUCUACGCCACCUGCCUCUCUCCCUUCUCACUCUUUCUUCUCUUCUGAUUCUCUGUUACAGGUCAGUGCAUGCAGCUGAGGUGCAUCAUCUCAUCAGUGGCUUCCGAGGUACCACACAGCUGAGCAAUCUGCACCUCUGACACUCUCCGUUCUGCCUCUGCCUGAGUGACCUGCUGCCAGUCAUCUCUCCUCUUCAUCUUCCUCGAGCCCAGCCAUCUCCGCUCUACCCCACCUGAGUUCGCCGGCUAUACUCACCUGUCUGAGCUUGUCUUCAUUUCCUCCAUCUGCCCUGCAUUGCCACCUCCAGCUCCCCAUCUGUGGACCCCUCGAGCUCUGCCUCCUCUGGCAGACAUUUCCAGCAUAUUGACUGUUAUCUCCAUAACUUGUUUUCUCAGUGUAAUAAAGUUUGUGAUCAGUGUCGCACCUGCCAUCCGUUUCCAGCCUGUUUGCUCACUCGCCUCCGCGAGUGCUCACCAUAACACAGUUGCAUACCAUGACUGUCUGUGAUUCCCCACUGCCUCUGA